This 500-nucleotide ribosomal RNA is filed under the name uncultured Myrionecta. Its description in RNAcentral is "SSU rRNA". It matches the Rfam family "Eukaryotic small subunit ribosomal RNA", at positions 35 to 601 of the family's 1831-position model. Lineage: Eukaryota; Ciliophora; Litostomatea; Cyclotrichida; Mesodiniidae. The record is from RNAcentral.
ACUGUCAGACUAGCCAUGCACGUCUAGUACAAACUAAAUGAUGGUGAACUGCAGAUGGCGGAUUACAACGGUUAUGAUGUACCCGGGAGUUCCGAUGGAUAUUUCCAGUAACACUAGAACUAAUACAUGUCCCUGCGUUUAUUAGUUUCGCACAGUUCGUCGCUGAGUCAUGGUAAACAGUUGAUCGACUCGACGUCCCGGAACAGUUUCCGCCCCAUCAGCUUCGAUGGUUGGGUAUUGGCCUACCAUUGCAACAACGGGUAACGAGGAAUUAGGGUUUGAUUUCGGAGAGGGAGCCUGAGAAACGGCUACCACAUCUACGGAUGGCAGCAGGCGCGCAAAUUACCCAAUGCAGACACUGUGAGGUAGUGACGAGAAAUAAUAAAGCGGGACUUCUGUUUCGCUAUUAUAAUGAGGGAAUAACCAAAGGUCAUUCCGAUUAGCAACUGAUGGGAAAGUCUGGUGUCAGCAGCCGCGGUAAUACCAGCGUCAGUAGCAUA